UCAGUUUCUUGUUUCCUCUAUGUAAUCUCCUAGUGUUUCACAUGAAAGUUCACCUCUGAAGUACGUGUACUCAGUGAGGACACUUGUGUACAUACCCCCAGCCACCUGCUGUGAACUAAAUGAUUUCUGUAGGCUGUGAGGAGUGUGGAUUCAUGCUUUAGAUCUGCACUGCUCCAAUAGAAGCAGUCCUGUCCUCCCCUGAGCACCUGGCCGCGUCUUCCUGCCACCUCCCUUCUCAGUGCUGGCACUUGGGCUGGAAAGGAUUCACCUGCUGCCUGCCUAAAGACAUUUUACUUUCAGGGCUGUUUUUCAACUGGAUCGGCAGGCUGGUCUGGCACUGCACCAAACCCCGCGAUGACUGGUACCCACACAAGAGAGCUGAUGGCAAUGUAUGGCAGGAAGGAAGCAGACUCAGAUUGGUUUAAACUAAUCAUUAAAUCCUUUAAUGAAAGCUGCUAGUGUGUGUUAGCAUUGAUUCGCCUUCCGUGCAUGUCAUAGCCAUCCUAUCUUCAGUUGCCCACUGGGUUUCCUGUUCGGACUUGUUUACAAAGUCUCCUCUCCUACCUGCUGCACAGAACCUGCUCUAGCAGGGGGCUGGACUCGAUGAUCUCUAGAGGUCCCUUCCAGCCCCUACGAUUCUGUGCCUUUCUUGCUAAGGUCCAGCCAUGGUGUAGCUGACGUCGCACUGCAGAGCUGAUGGGAGACUGGUUCUCAUCAGGUUGGAUCUGUCUGGGGAUUUACACUGCACCCCCAUCCUACAGUUUCACUUCUUGCUUCUAAUUCAGAGGAAUUGCAAAGCCUGAAAUGAAAGUUGGCUGAAACUGUGACAGGUCCCUCGUUAUCGUUUUGCUUUUGGUAACAAAGAUGUACAAAAGUCAGUCUGUGAGCAGCGCUGAUACGAAGAGGCCAGGCUGGGUCAGGAAGCCUUUAACAAACACCAAACCAAGCUGCUGUCCCACGUCGGGGGCAGAGCUGGCAGCACAGCCUUACCCGUUGUUUUUGGUGACGUCUGUGAGCUUUUAGGGACAACUCCUGCCUGCACGGGACUUGGUGCUCCAGGCGCUGCGGAGAGAUCUUGCUGGUUAAACAGCCAUGGUGAAAGCAGAAGUGGAUUCUCACAUCUGUUUAUGGCAUCUGGAGUGAAUUGGACUCGGAGCAGGCUGAGCUGGCUUCUGAGGAAACUGGCCUCCAAGCAGAAAACCAGAAAUAGAGGUGCAUGGCAUGCUACGCUUGCUGCCCUAAAGGUGGACUAAUCCCAUAGGACUCAGAAACGUGGAGGAGAAUUGGGAAGCCUUGAUUAAAUCCUCGAUUAAAUUCUCUUUCAGCCACUACUGAAGUUUGCUCUCAUGGCUCUCUCAACUUGGGCUAGCAGCAGUGGGGUUGUUGUUUAGAUAAGCAAAUUGUUAAAAACUCCCCUCCCAGCCUUAUCUAUCUGGAAGGGUUGCUCUUGUGCCAGAGAUUGGCCACUGGAAGCAGGGCUGAAGGCUGAGGCUUUGCUGCCUGUGCAGGCAUCACCAACGUUCUGAACUCAUCUUCUGUGCUUUUCAGAUCCUG
Molecule: long non-coding RNA, 1554 nt
Organism: Numida meleagris (helmeted guineafowl)
Lineage: Eukaryota; Metazoa; Chordata; Aves; Galliformes; Numididae
Source: Ensembl